Molecule: ribosomal RNA, 439 nt
Filed under: uncultured bacterium
Lineage: Bacteria
Description: partial 16S ribosomal RNA
Rfam family: Bacterial small subunit ribosomal RNA
Source: RNAcentral
CUACGGGACGCUCCAGUGAGGAAUAUUGCACAAUGGGGGGAACCCUGAUGCAGCAACGCCGCGUGGAGGAUGACGCAUUUCGGUGUGUAGACUCCUUUUAUAUGUCAAGAAAAUGACGGUAGCAUAUGAAUAAGCACCGGCUAACUCCGUGCCAGCAGCCGCGGUAAUACGGAGGGUGCAAGCGUUACUCGGAAUCACUGGGCGUAAAGGACGCGUAGGCGGGCUUGUAAGUCAGGUGUGAAAUCCUACAGCUUAACUGUAGAACUGCACUUGAAACUACGAGCCUAGAGUAUGGGAGGGGGAGAUGGAAUUAGUGGUGUAGGGGUAAAAUCCGUAGAUAUCACUAGGAAUACCUAAAGCGAAGGCGAUCUCCUGGAACAUAACUGACGCUAAGGCGUGAAAGCGUGGGGAGCAAACAGGAUUAGAUACCCUUGUAGUC